Molecule: ribosomal RNA, 1438 nt
Filed under: uncultured bacterium
Lineage: Bacteria
Description: bacterial SSU rRNA
Rfam family: Bacterial small subunit ribosomal RNA
Source: RNAcentral
UAGAGUUUGAUCCUGGCUCAGAACGUACGCUGGCGGCACGCCUAACACAUGCAAGUCGAACGAAGUAGCAAUACUUAGUGGCAGACGGGUGAGUAACAUGUAGGUAUCUGCCCUUUGGCCUGGAAUAACACGAGGAAACUUGUGCUAAUACCGGAUAAGUCUUUACAGAGAAAGCUUUAUGCACCAUUGGAUGAGCCUGCACUUGAUUAGUUUGUUGGUGGGGUAAUGGCCUACCAAGACUGUGAUCAAUAGCUGAUUUGAGAGGAUGAUCAGCCACAUUGGGACUGAGACACGGCCCAAACUCCUACGGGAGGCAGCAGUGGGGAAUCUUGCACAAUGGAGGAAACUCUGAUGCAGCGAUGCCGCGUGAGUGAAGAAGGCCUUUGGGUUGUAAAGCUCUUUCGUCGGGGAAGAAAAUGACUGUACCCGAAUAAGAAGGUCCGGCUAACUUCGUGCCAGCAGCCGCGGUAAUACGAAGGGACCUAGCGUAGUUCGGAAUUACUGGGCUUAAAGAGUUCGUAGGUGGUUGAAAAAGUUGGUGGUGAAAUCCCAGAGCUUAACUCUGGAACUGCCAUCAAAACUUUUCAGCUAGAGUAUGAUAGAGGAAAGCAGAAUUUCUAGUGUAGAGGUGAAAUUCGUAGAUAUUAGAAAGAAUACCAAUUGCGAAGGCAGCUUUCUGGAUCAUUACUGACACUGAGGAACGAAAGCAUGGGUAGCGAAGAGGAUUAGAUACCCUCGUAGUCCAUGCCGUAAACGAUGUGUGUUAGACGUUGGAAAUUUAUUUUCAGUGUCGCAGCGAAAGCGAUAAACACACCGCCUGGGGAGUACGACCGCAAGGUUAAAACUCAAAUGAAUUGACGGGGACCCGCACAAGUAGUGGAGCAUGUGGUUUAAUUCGAAGAUACGCGCAGAACCUUACCAACACUUGACAUGUUCGUCGCGACUCUAAGAGAUUAGAGUUUUCGGUUCGGCCGGACGAAACACAGGUGCUGCAUGGCUGUCGUCAGCUCGUGUCGUGAGAUGUUGGGUUAAGUCCCGCAACGAGCGCAACCCUCACUUUUAGUUGCCAUCAUUAAGUUGGGCACUCUGAAAGAACUGCCAGUGAUAAGCUGGAGGAAGGUGGGGAUGACGUCAAGUCCUCAUGGCCCUUACGUGUUGGGCUACACACGUGCUACAAUGGUAUCUACAACAGGAAGCAAGACGGCGACGUUAAGCAAAUCCUUAAAAGAUACCUCAGUUCGGAUUGCACUCUGCAACUCGAGUGCAUGAAGCUGGAAUUACUAGUAAUCGUGGAUCAGCGUGCCACGGUGAAUGCGUUCCCGGGUCUUGUACACACCGCCCGUCACACCAUGGGAGUUGGUUCUACCUUAAGGCAAGGUUUCAAACCCUUGACCACGGUAUAGUCAGCGACUGGGGUGAAGUCGUAACAAGGUAACCA